GCUGGGCGUGGCAGCGCGCGCCUGUAAUCCCAGCUACUCGGGAGGCUGAGGCAGUAGAAUUGCUUGAACCCAGGAGGUAGAGGUUGCAGUGAGCCAAGAUCAUGCCACUGGAGUCUGGCCUGGGUAACACAGUGAGACUCAGUCUCAA
Molecule: non-coding RNA, 148 nt
Filed under: Chlorocebus sabaeus (green monkey)
Lineage: Eukaryota; Metazoa; Chordata; Mammalia; Primates; Cercopithecidae
Source: Rfam by way of RNAcentral